Molecule: long non-coding RNA, 137 nt
Organism: Herpailurus yagouaroundi (jaguarundi)
Lineage: Eukaryota; Metazoa; Chordata; Mammalia; Carnivora; Felidae
Exons: 3
Source: RefSeq, a predicted model, not a curated record
AGUGAUAAUCAUGGUUUUAGGAAUAGAACUUAGUGAUGCAUCACGUACAUACAACACCCAGGGCUCAUCACAAGUGCCCUCCUUAAUGCCCAUCACCCAUCCAGCCCAUCCCCCACCCACCUCCCCUCCAGCAAUCU